Molecule: ribosomal RNA, 292 nt
Filed under: uncultured bacterium
Lineage: Bacteria
Description: partial 16S ribosomal RNA
Rfam family: Archaeal small subunit ribosomal RNA
Source: RNAcentral
GUGCAGCCGCCGCGGUCAUACCGGCAGCCCGAGUGAUGGCCGCUAUUCUUGGGCCUAAAGCGGCCGUAGCUGGCCGAACAAGUCCGUCGGGAAAUCCACGUGCUUAACACGUGGGCGACCGGCGGAAACUGUUCGGCUUGGGGCCGGAGGACCCGAGGGGUACGUCCGGGGUAGGAGUGAAAUCCUGUAAUCCUGGACGGACCGCCGGUGGCGAAAGCGCCUCGGGAAGACGGACCCGACAGUGAGGGACGAAAGCUGGGAUCUCGAACCGGAUUAGAAACCCGAGUAGUCC